This 252-nucleotide ribosomal RNA is filed under the name uncultured bacterium. RNAcentral's name for it is "partial 16S ribosomal RNA". It matches the Rfam family "Bacterial small subunit ribosomal RNA", at positions 524 to 776 of the family's 1533-position model. The record is from RNAcentral.
UACGUAGGGGGCAAGCGUUGUCCGGAAUUAUUGGGCGUAAAGCGCGCGCAGGCGGCCGAUUAAGUCUGGUGUUUAACCCCGGGGCUCAACCCCGGGUCGCACUGGAAACUGGUUGGCUUGAGUACAGAAGAGGAAAGUGGAAUUCCACGUGUAGCGGUGAAAUGCGUAGAGAUGUGGAGGAACACCAGUGGCGAAGGCGACUUUCUGGGAAGAUACUGACGCUGAGGUGCGAAAGCGUGGGGAGCAAACAGG